CAUAUGAUGAAAUUAUUUUGGUCCGUGUUUAUGAUUUUAUUUGAUUUUAUAAUUAUCGCUUUCAAUUUACUGAUAUUU
This is a non-coding RNA of Glossina palpalis gambiensis, 78 nucleotides long. Lineage: Eukaryota; Metazoa; Arthropoda; Insecta; Diptera; Glossinidae. The record is from Rfam.